RNAcentral lists this long non-coding RNA (2843 nucleotides) under Aquilegia coerulea. RNAcentral describes it as "long non-coding RNA (ACOE_LNC001691)". The record is from RNAcentral. Lineage: Eukaryota; Viridiplantae; Streptophyta; Magnoliopsida; Ranunculales; Ranunculaceae.
AACAUAGGUAACUUCUAGCGCAACAGAAUGCACAACUUCCUGACACUGAAUUGCUAAAUAUGACCAGGUCGAUUUCAGAGUGUGCUGAGAAAUGAAAUAAUGUGAUGACUACCUUACUAAGUUCGUGACUGCCAAUGUAUUGCUAGUAUAAUCAGGUGAUCCUUGCAACAUGUGUGCUAAUCGUGACUUAGAUACCCGAGCUUUGAAUUGCAUUUCUGCAUCUGUUGUUUGUCGAGCAAGGUCUACUACCCAACAAUGGAUGAAGUUGACAGUAAUUGCUUUAAUGCUCAAAGCACCUGUUACACAAAAAGAAAUUGAACUUGUGUCCUACAUCACAAUAUUCUUUCCGUCUGUAAAUAAUAUCACUAUUGGUACAUAAAAGAAAAUCAUGAUAAUGUUUGUGGACUUAUAAUGGAAAACUACUUCUAAGUUGCUAGUAUGUAACAUGUUAUGACAAACAAACUACGUCUACAAUCUGUCAAUAUGACAAUGCAGCAUAUUUUUGCAACUAAAAAACAAUGCUGGUAGAACACCCAAGGUCGAAAUAUAAAAUAUGGCCUUGGAAUAAUCUCUGUGGCCAUAGAGUUACUCAUACACUUUACUACUAGUACUAUAUUCUCUCGUCACAUUAUAAAAUUAAUGGUUUUUCAUUGGGAACUCAGUAGCUGGGUCCUUCCAAAGAAACAUUAAUGUUUGAGUUAUAAAAGCUGUUUAUACAGCACUACAUAGUUAGUUUACCAUCCUUCUGCAUAGUUUUGAUGGCCCUGUACUUUGUUUUUCUUCACCUUACUCUUCUACUCUGUUAUUCAUAUCCAACCAAUGCGCAAUCUUUUUUUGACCCUGUUGUAAAUGUCUCGACUACAUGGAUCAAUACCCCCUCCAGUUGUCUUUCCCUGACUUUCAAAGAUAAUUCUAUGAUCAGACUAAUCUGCAAUCGUCGAAUUUCCUUUGAUACACUUUUUGGCUUUGGAUUCUACUGCAAUGGUGAUUGCACUUCUUACCAACUGUCUGUCUUUCUAUACAGUGACGCGAAACUUUUGCCAUUCUUCCCAAUUGUUAUCUGGUCUUCCAACCGGAACAAUCUUGUUAGAGACAAUGCAACGUUGGAGUUCACUCAAGAAGGUGAUUUAAUCUUGAGAGAUGUUGAUAAUAGCUUUGUUUGGUCUACAAAUACUACCAAUAGAUCCAUUGUUGGCCUAAAUGUUACAGACUUGGGUAACCUCGUGCUCUUCAAUGCCAACAAUAGUAUUGUAUGGCAAUCUUCUGAUUACCCAACAGACACUUUAGUUUUUGGGCAGAAGUUGUUGGAGGGGCAGAGACUCAUAGCCAGUGUGUCAAAAUCAAAUUCUACAGAAGGCUUGUUUUCUCUUUUUGUUAAUGCUAAAGGUCUGUUUGCUUACGUUGAAUCCAACCCUCCGGUGUCUUAUUUUGAAUAUUUGGUUUCUGAACCAAAAAAGAGGAAAGAACCCAGUUACAUGAUAUUAUUGAAUGGAAGUGUCACUCUGCACAUAUUGAAUGAUGAAGAAAACGAUCCCGAUUGUACUUAUUUAGUCCCACUGGCAUCCUCCAUUCAAUUCCUGAGGUUAGAUUUUGAUGGGCAUUUGAGAGUUUUUGAGAUUGAAAAAGGUAAUGUGGCUGAUCUCUGGCAACAUUCUAUGGAUGUGUGUGAAUAUCCUCUGGUUUGUGGGAACUAUGGUAUUUGUUCACUUGGUCAAUGCACCUGUCCUCAACUGAUCAGCAAUGGAAUAAGUUUUUUUAAGCCAAUAGAUGAUAGGCAACCCAAUAUUGGUUGCUAAUGAGACUACUCCAUUGUCAUGUGAAGCUCCUCAUGAUCACCUCCUCCUACAUCUUGAAGCCAUUACUUAUUUCCACCUUACUAAUGGCAUCAAUUCUACGACUCUUUCGAGUUGUAAGGAGAGUUGUUUGCGGAACUGUUUUUGUAAAGCCGCCUUCUUUCGUUAUCUCGAGAGUGAAACUAAUGGGGAAUGCUUUACACAGAAUGAUGUCUUUUCAUUGAUCAACGAUCAACAGAAAAUUGAUAAAUAUAACAUUGAUCGCGAUAAGAAGUUGGUGUUUAUUAAGGUGCAAAUGAUCACAAACAGAAUCCAUGCCCCUACUGAGCCUUCUUCAAACGUUCUUUUUCAAAACCAUGUUGUAAAGGUAUUUAUAUUAAUCAUUGCAGGUCUCUCUAGCGUUUUUUUAACCAUAACAUCAUAUGUUAUAUGGAAGAAAAGGAACGUUUCUGACAAAUGCAUAAAUUAUUUGGACCAACUACCUGGAAUGCCCACUCGAUUUUCUUAUAAAGACCUAAGGGUUGCAACGAACAAUUUCAGCAACAAACUUGGAGAAGGUGGGUUCGGAACUGUAUAUGAAGGAACCUUGACUGAUGGCACCAAAGUGGCAGUAAAGCGUCUAUAUGGAUUACGGAACAUGAAAAGCUCAUUUUUAGUAGAGGUGGAGACAAUAAGCAGCAUUCAUCAUGUCAACCUGAUAAGAUUGCUUGGGUUUUGUGUUAAUGCAUCACACCAACUUUUAGUUUAUGAAUACAUGUGCAAUGGAUCCUUGGAUAAUUGGAUCUACAGCAGAAACCAAAAUCCAACUCUAGAUUGGCAAACAAGAAAGAAAAUUAUUCUGGACAUAGCUAAGGGCCUGACUUAUCUCCAUGAAGAAUGCGAACAAAGGAUAGUCCACUUAGAUAUUAAACCACAAAACAUUCUCUUAGACAAGAAGUUCAAUGCUAAGGUGUCAGAUUUUGGAUUGUCUAAACUGAUCGACAGAGAACAAAGCAAAGUUAUAACAACAAUGAGAGGAACUCUUGGAUACCUGGCACCAGAAUGGUUAAG